GGCAUUGUGGCAGGAAUCACAUUUUGGACCUUGUUACUGCUUAGCACAUCACAUACCAGUGCCCAAUUGAACUGGGAGAUCCAGCGGUACGAUGGGUGGUAUAACAAUCUGGCACAUCACAGAAGAGGCUCAGUCGGUUCCUCCUUUGUCCGCCUGCUGCCCGCUAAUUAUGCCGAUGGCGUCCUCCAGGCGGUGCAGGAACCACAGCUCCCGAACCC
Callorhinchus milii (elephant shark) is the source of this 218-nucleotide long non-coding RNA. RefSeq lists it as uncharacterized. NCBI's taxonomy places the organism in Eukaryota, Metazoa, Chordata, Chondrichthyes, Chimaeriformes, Callorhinchidae. The record is from RefSeq and is a predicted model, not a curated record. The transcript has 3 exons.